AGUAAAUACAUUUGUGCAGGGGACACAUGCCACAUGCCGCUCUCCAGCCUGCUAGGAGUACUCAUGGCCUUCAUCUUCUCUGGAUCCAGUGUGGCCCAGAGAGUUACUCAAGUCCAGACAGCCACAUCCAGGCAAGAGGGGGCAACAGUCACCCUGGACUGUAGAUAUGAAACAAGUCAGAGUGUGUACUACAUUUUUUGGUAUAAGCAGCUUCCCAACGGAGAGAUCAUUUUCCUUAUUAGUCAGGGUUCUUCUGGCCAAAAUGCAAAGAGUGGCCGCUAUUUUACAAACUUAGAGACAGCAGCUAAAUUCAUCAGCCUCACCAUUUCAACCUUACAGCUGGAAGAUUCAGCAAAGUAUUUUUGUGCUCUCCAAGAACGCACAGUGUUUGAAGUGACAGUAGAAGCUGAACAAAAACUCCAGAGCUCAAUAAGACAGAGCCCCCCCUGCUGCAGGAGGCAAGCUGAAACGCACACCUGCAGAUCCCAGACAAGAAAUGGUAGUGCUGUGGGUGCUUAG
Non-coding RNA from Diceros bicornis minor, 519 nucleotides. Lineage: Eukaryota; Metazoa; Chordata; Mammalia; Perissodactyla; Rhinocerotidae. The record is from the annotation of a RefSeq genome assembly.